GCACGGAUAGCUCAGUGGUAGAGCGGCUGUUUUACACGUAGUUGAUCGGGUGCGAAUCCUUCUCCGUGUACCA
Molecule: transfer RNA, 73 nt
Filed under: Akkermansia muciniphila
Lineage: Bacteria; Pseudomonadati; Verrucomicrobiota; Verrucomicrobiia; Verrucomicrobiales; Akkermansiaceae
Description: tRNA-Val
Rfam family: tRNA
About the family: Transfer RNA (tRNA) molecules are approximately 80 nucleotides in length.
Source: RNAcentral